CCUACGGGUGGCAGCAGUGGGGAAUAUUGGGCAAUGGAGGCAACUCUGACCCAGCAAUGCCGCGUGAGUGAUGAAGGUAAUUUUAUUGUAAAGCUCUUUUCUUUGGAACGAAUAAAUGAUGGUACCAAAGGAAUAAGCCCCGGCUAACUACGUGCCAGCAGCCGCGGUAAUACGUAGGGGGCAAGCGUUGUUCGGAAUGACUGGGCGUAAAGGGUGUGUAGGUGGUUUGAUAAGUUAGAUGUGUAAUACCCAGGGCUUAACUCGGGUGCUGCAUCUAAAACUGUUAGACUUGAGUACUGGAGAGGAUAGUGGAAUUCCUAGUGUAGCGGUGGAAUGCGUAGAGAUUAGGAAGAACACCGGUGGCGAAGGCGGCUCACUGGACUGUAACUGACGCUGAGGCUCGAAAGCGUGGGGAGCAAACAGGAUUAGAUACCCUAGUAGUC
Molecule: ribosomal RNA, 443 nt
Filed under: uncultured bacterium
Lineage: Bacteria
Description: partial 16S ribosomal RNA
Rfam family: Bacterial small subunit ribosomal RNA
Source: RNAcentral